This 594-nucleotide ribosomal RNA is filed under the name uncultured bacterium. Its description in RNAcentral is "bacterial SSU rRNA". It matches the Rfam family "Bacterial small subunit ribosomal RNA", at positions 32 to 592 of the family's 1533-position model. The record is from RNAcentral.
GACGCUGAGCGGCAGGCUAAUACAUGCAAGUCGGACGGGAUUGGAGAGCUGUGCUUCCAUGAGGAGUGGCGCACGGGUGCGUGAACACUGUAUGUAACCGACCCUUGCCAGUGGGGAUAGAGCCUCGUGCGAAAGGAAGAGAUGUAACACCGUGCAAUGAACAUGACCGGGUAGCAUUACGCGGGUCAUCAAAUAUGUUAUAGGGCAAGGAUGGUGCAUGCGCAGCCAUUAGCUGGAUGGCGGGGUAACGGCCCACCAUGGCGAUGAUGCUUAGGGGAUCUGAGAGGAUGGCCCCCCACACUGGUACUGAGACACGGACCAGACUCCUACGGGAGGCACGACAAGUAAGGAAUAUUGGUCAAUGGGCGCAAGCCUGAACCAGCCAUGCCGCGUGCAGGAAGACGGCCCUAUGGGUUGUAAACUGCUUUUUGUCAAGGGAAUAAACCCUCUUAUGCGGUAAGAGGCUUGACAUGUACCUGAAGAAUAACGGAUCGGUAACUCCGUGCCAAGGCCAGCCGCGGUAAAUACGGAGGGAUCCCGAAGCGUUAUCCGGAUUAUUGGGUUAAAAGGGUGCGCAAGGGCGGGCCUGCUCAA